GGCUGCUCUCAAACUCCUGACUUCGUAAUCCAUCCGCCUCGGCCUCACAAAGUGCUGGGAUUACAGGCGAAUAAACUGUACUGAGCCACAGCGCCCGGCCAGGAUCUGAUGAUUUUAUAAGGGGCUUCCCCCUGCGCUUCGCACUCACUCCGUCCUGCCGCCCUGUGAAGAAAGAGCCUGCUUCUCCUUUGCCUUCUGCCAUGAUUGUGGCUAGUCACGGUGGCUCAUGCCUGUAAUCCUCAUCACUUUGGUAGGCCGAGAUGAAAAGACUGCAAGGAGUUAAUGACCAGCCUGGACAACAUAGCGAGACCCCAUCUCAAGAAAAUAUUCCCAGGUAAAUCCAAAUCGAUUUCUUUUAGACAACUGUGGUAUAGAAUUGUGACUAGUGUAUUAUUUUAUGAUCUCUUUUGUUACAUCCUUAGUGUCCAAUAGGAUUUUUGUUGCGUUUGCUUUAUAUCUGAAAUUCUGCAUUUUAAUUCAGCUACACAAAUAAUGCAUCUUUUCAACAAAACUCAGAUACAAAUAAUGUUCUAAUAUUGUUAUUUAUUUCCAUACAGCAUUAAUCUCUAGUAAGUCUAACUUCGCAAUCUCUUUUCUCACUUUUCAAUACACCUCUAGCUUCCAAUUGUUUUGCCUAGAGACUUUAAGGCCUAUGACUGCCAGAAUGAAAGAUUGUUACCUCUUUUCCCUUGCUUAUUAAGGUAGGAGGCCAUGAUGACGCACUUUUCUCAAUCUCUUGGCUUUAAAUGGAUCUUACCUUGGGAGAGUUACAGUGAAGGCAUGAGUAAUUGCGAUUUAAAGUUUUGCUUCUGUGUCAUACAACAAUGCUGCAUCAUGAAAUGUUGAGUCUUGUCUCUUUUCCUGGCAGAUGGCCAGAGGGUGUGAUGGCUCCUACCUGACUGAUACAAUUGAAAUCAAAGACUUGCCAAGUUAUACCAGCAACUCCAGCAAAACUGUGAACUUACUGGCCUUGGAGGACUAUGGAUUGAAACACACAAAACAUCUUUGGCUGUGCAUGCCCUUCACACUGGCUGCCUAGUCCCCUCACAGAAGAUUGUACCAUGUGGUAGUUGGCGUAAGAAACCAUUGUGUAUAUGAAUUUUGUCAUGAGGACCUAGUGGUCAGCACUCUUGCACAUUACAGAACAAGGAAAAUAUAGUAUUUAUAAACUCUUCAGCAGUCCCUAUUAGGGAGCCCAAAUUCAAU
Long non-coding RNA from Homo sapiens (human), 1206 nucleotides. Ensembl annotates it as long intergenic non-protein coding RNA 2471. NCBI's taxonomy places the organism in Eukaryota, Metazoa, Chordata, Mammalia, Primates, Hominidae. The record is from Ensembl.